RNAcentral lists this ribosomal RNA (498 nucleotides) under uncultured bacterium. Its description in RNAcentral is "bacterial SSU rRNA". It matches the Rfam family "Bacterial small subunit ribosomal RNA", at positions 29 to 507 of the family's 1533-position model. The record is from RNAcentral.
AACGAACGCUAGCGGUGCGUUUCAAGCAUGCAAGUCGAACGGUAUUACGUUUUUAUUUUAUAAAGAAGUAAGAGAGUGGCGAACGGGUGAGUAACACGUAGGUAAUCUGCCUUUCAGUCUGGGAUAGCCAGUGGAAACAUUGGGUAAUACCGGAUACUUCUUAUGGAAGGAAUUGUAUAAGAGAAAAGUACUUUUGUGCUACUGAUAGAGGAGCCUGCGCUUGAUUAGCUUGUUGGUGGGGUAAUGGCCUACCAAGGCGACGAUCAAUAGCCGGCCUGAGAGGGUGUACGGCCACACUGGGACUGAGACACGGCCCAGACUCCUACGGGAGGCAGCAGCUAAGAAUCUUCCGCAAUGGGCGAAAGCCUGACGGAGCGACACCGCGUGGAUGAAGAAGGCCGUGAGGUUGUAAAAUCCUUUUAUUGUUGAGGAAUAAUUAUUAUGCUUAAGUGUAAUAUGAUGACGGUAGGCAAUGAAUAAGCCCCGGCUAAUUACGUG